RNAcentral lists this long non-coding RNA (706 nucleotides) under Homo sapiens (human). RNAcentral describes it as "non-protein coding lnc-PRSS27-4:25". Lineage: Eukaryota; Metazoa; Chordata; Mammalia; Primates; Hominidae. The record is from RNAcentral.
AAAAUUCCUCCAGACUUUGGAAUUCUCAGGCGCAAAUUGAUCAAAAAUUAGCUAAUCAGAUUAAUGAUCUCCGCCAAAGUGUAACCUGGCUGGGAGAUAGAGUUAUGAACUUGCAACACCGUAUGCAAUUACAGUGUGAUUGGAAUACUUCUGAUUAUUGCAUAACGCCUUAUGCUUAUAAUCAAGAUCAACAUAGCUGGGAAAAUGUCUCAAGACAUUUAAAAGCCUGGGAUGAUAACUUAACCUUGGAUAUUUCACAACUUAAAGAGCAAAUCUUUGAGGCUUCACAAGCCCAUUUAUCCACAGUUCCUGGCUCACACAUUUUUGAAGGCAUAACUAAACAAUUACCUGAUUUUAAUCCCUUCAAAUGGCUCAAACCCGUCAGAGGAUCAUUGUUGUUACUGGCAUUAUUAAUAUUGGUAUGCUUAUGUUGUCUCCUUUUAGUCUGCAGAUGCCUCUAAGGAGUCCGAAACCAAGUCCGAAGUCAACAACAAGCAAUGAUGGCGAUGUAUGACGCCGUGCCCAUCCAGUCCAGCGUGGUGUUAUGUUCCUGCCCAUCCCCAUCAAUGGUGAGGACCCAGACUGAGUCCAGCACGCCCCCUGGCAUUCCUGGUGGCAGCAGGCAGGGCCCCGCCAUGGACGGCACUGCAGCCGAGCCUCGGCCCGGCGCCGGCUCCCUGCAGCAUGCCCAGCCUCCGCCGCAGCC